Molecule: non-coding RNA, 1401 nt
Organism: Paramuricea clavata
Lineage: Eukaryota; Metazoa; Cnidaria; Anthozoa; Malacalcyonacea; Plexauridae
Source: the annotation of a GenBank genome assembly
UCCCAAAGGUCGCGGGUUCGAUUCCCAUUGUGGUCAGGCAAGCUUGCCCGGUGUGGAUGCAUCACUCAGAGUAACAACACAAACAGCAAAUAUAUUUUGUUCUACCUCCCGUUCUAAAAUUUCGUUAAGUCAGUAACCUGCCAUUGCCCUUGCAAAAACAGGUCAGCUAGAACUAUUUGAAGCAUUGCAAUCAAGUCAAACAAAAACGUUCUGGCAAAGUGUCCAGCAUUUGAGGGCAUUUUCCUCGACAAACGUAUGCUUGUGAUAUCUUAAGGUAAAGUAGUUUUUUUCAGGAGGUUGUGGAUAACAUUUUAAAGUGCAGAGAAGUCCAUAUAGAGUCAAUUAUCAGCAGUUUCUAAGUUUUCAAUCCAGUAAGCUCUAUAUAUAUCUGGAGCAAGAACUUCGGUCAUUCGGCCAAUAAGAAAAGUGAAGAUGGCGGCCAUUAACGUCCAAUAGCUCUGAAGAUUUUAAACAUCAUUUUCCCAGUGACUGUUUCGCUAAUCAAGUUAUCAUUUCAUGAAACCAGUGUUAUUCUUUCAAUCAACGUCAAAAUACGAAAUUUCGCCACAAUCCUUGCAGGCUGCGCAGCAAAAACAAUAGAAAGGGACUGAAACUGACGGCCAGUAGCUCCAUCUUUAGCUUCGUGUUUCGGACUUGAGUUCUCACUCCAGACAUAUAUGGAGCUCGCACUGAUUAAACCACGACCUCCCUCCUCCCUCACCGUUCCUCGCCUCGUGUACACUGGACUGGGAUAAGGUAUUAAUCGACUGUAACGUUGUAACGUUCCAGUUUGUUUUGAGUUCAGUGCUAUGUAUACGUACAAUAAUUUACAAUAAAAGAAUACCAAAUGGUUUUCCGUGCUGGAUAGCGUCAUCCAUGCACGCGGGAUGUUGCGAGACUUUCCGAAAGUCGAACAACAUGCCAAGUGCAUGGAUGACGCUAUUCCGCAUGGAAAACCAUUUGGUAAUUGUUUUGUAAAGUAACUAACAGCGAAGCAACGGUUAAGUUUAUUAAAACGUCAACCGUUCAUUGUUAUUUAUAAACGGUUAACGUUUUUAUAACUUUAUUAACGUUUUUGUUAACUUGUCUCUCGUUUAAGGUGGCUCGAUACAGUUUUCAAAAAUUCAGAUGUUUAACACUUUGACAUGUUCAAACUACGCAUUUUUAGGAUUUAGUCAGCAGAUAUUGGGUUUUUUAUAUAUUUUGAUAACUCUACUUUCAAAUUUUAAUAACAGAUAGUUCGUUGCUAUGACGACAUACGUGUACGAAAUUCACUCCAAAAUGGUCUAUCGUCUCGUAUAGUUGGAAAAAAAGCAUGGUGAUCCCCAAUUUUUUUUCGUGCAUUAUUUUACUUGGACGAAAAGCUAACAAUUAGCAAAAUAUAAAAAAUUCUGUAAUGCC